Mycena vulgaris is the source of this 95-nucleotide non-coding RNA. The record is from the annotation of a GenBank genome assembly. Lineage: Eukaryota; Fungi; Basidiomycota; Agaricomycetes; Agaricales; Mycenaceae.
GGCCUGGGGGUGGAGUUGGUACCAUACCUGCUUCUGCUAAUGGAUAAUUGGAAUACCAUAAGCAGAAGGCCCUCGUUCGAUUCGGGGUCAGGUCA